RNAcentral lists this ribosomal RNA (465 nucleotides) under uncultured bacterium. Its description in RNAcentral is "bacterial SSU rRNA". It matches the Rfam family "Bacterial small subunit ribosomal RNA", at positions 338 to 795 of the family's 1533-position model. The record is from RNAcentral.
CCUACGGGAGGCAGCAGUAGGGAAUCUUCGGCAAUGGGGGCAACCCUGACCGAGCAACGCCGCGUGAGUGAAGAAGGUUUUCGGAUCGUAAAACUCUGUUGUUAGAGAAGAACGUUAAGUAGAGUGGAAAAUUACUUAAGUGACGGUAUCUAACCAGAAAGGGACGGCUAACUACGCGCCAGCAGCCGCGGUAAUACGUAGGUCCCAAGCGUUGUCCGGAUUUAUUGGGCGUAAAGCGAGCGCAGGUGGUUUCUUAAGUCUGAUGUAAAAGGCAGUGGCUCAACCAUUGUGUGCAUUGGAAACUGGGAGACUUGAGUGCAGGAGAGGAGAGUGGAAUUCCAUGUGUAGCGGUGAAAUGCGUAGAUAUAUGGAGGAACACCGGAGGCGAAAGCGGCUCUCUGGCCUGUAACUGACACUGAGGCUCGAAAGCGUGGGGAGCAAACAGGAUUAGAUACCCUUGUAGUC